AUUGAACGCUGGCGGCAUGCCUUACACAUGCAAGUCGAACGGCAGCACGGGAGCAAUCCUGGUGGCGAGUGGCGAACGGGUGAGUAAUAUAUCGGAACGUGCCCAGUCGUGGGGGAUAACGUAGCGAAAGCUACGCUAAUACCGCAUACGAUCUAUGGAUGAAAGCGGGGGAUCGCAAGACCUCGCGCGAUUGGAGCGGCCGAUAUCAGAUUAGGUAGUUGGUGAGGUAAAGGCUCACCAAGCCGACGAUCUGUAGCUGGUCUGAGAGGACGACCAGCCACACUGGGACUGAGACACGGCCCAGACUCCUACGGGAGGUAGCAGUGGGGAAUUUUGGACAAUGGGCGCAAGCCUGAUCCAGCAAUGCCGCGUGCAGGAUGAAGGCCUUCGGGUUGUAAACUGCUUUGUACGGAACGAAACGGUGAGCUCUAAUACAGUUUGCUAAUGACGGUACCGUAAGAAUAAGCACCGGCUAACUACGUG
RNAcentral lists this ribosomal RNA (483 nucleotides) under uncultured bacterium. RNAcentral describes it as "bacterial SSU rRNA". It matches the Rfam family "Bacterial small subunit ribosomal RNA", at positions 30 to 507 of the family's 1533-position model. The record is from RNAcentral.